This 1524-nucleotide long non-coding RNA is filed under the name Anolis carolinensis (green anole). RNAcentral's name for it is "lncRNA (ENSACAG00000044005.1)". Lineage: Eukaryota; Metazoa; Chordata; Lepidosauria; Squamata; Anolidae. The record is from RNAcentral.
AUGAUGACAUUUACGUGUGGCCUUGCCAAAAAGUUUGGGGAAAAUACAUCCAGUAUUCCAUCGCAGUUUAUUGAAAAAGUAUAUGGGUACUUUGGACAAAAUGGACACCUAGAAUUAUUGUUUGAGUUAUUUCAGAAUUGUGAUGAAAGAAGCACAGAAGAAGAGGACGAAGAAAAGGGGGGCGCCAUGUCAUGGAACCAAGUCCCAGGGCUGAAUUUCCAAGCCCUGGACUUGGAGUCAUAACAUAAAUAAUCCUGAAUGUCUCAUGAAAGCACCUGGCAGAAGAAGAUAGAAGAGCAUGGGAACUCGGGGUUGAAAGUAUAAACAAUUAUAAUUGGUAGACUGUGUGGGAAUAGUAGUAAUGUGAUACAGGGGGUGGGGUUUUGAUGAUGACAUUUACGUGUGGUGUGACGUUGCAACAAAGGUGAUAAAAAUGAUUGUAUGUAAACAUUAGGUCAUUCUCGACUUUUUCCAAGUCAUGUAUUCUUCAAUAAAAAUUGGUUUUCCAAUAUAUCUGUGGAAGGUCCAGGGUGGGAGAAAGAACUCUUGUCUGUUGGAGGCAAGUGUGAAUGUUGUUAUUAAUCACCUUGAUUAGUAUUUGAUGGCCUUGCAGCUUCAAGGCCUAGCUGAUUCCUGCCUGGGAGGUGUUAGCUGGCCCUGAUUGUUUCAUCCCUGGAAUUCUUCUGUUUUCAGAGUGUUGUUCUUUAUUUACUGUCCUGAUUUUAGAGGGUUUUUUUAAUAUUGUUAGCCACAUUUUGUUCAUUUUCAUGGUUUCCUCCUUUCUGUUGAAAUUGUCCACAUACUUGUGGAUUUCAAUGGCUUCUCUGUGUAGUCUGACAUGGUGGUUGUUAGAGUGGUCCAGCAUUUCUGUGUUCUCAGAUAAUAUGCUGUGUCCAGACUGGUUCAUCAAGUGCUCUGCUAUGGCUGACUUCUCUGGAUGAGUUAGUCUACAAUGCCUUUCAUGUUCCUUGAUUCAUAUUUGGGCAAGACUGUGUUUGGUGGUCCCUAUGUAGACUUGUCCACAGCACCAUGGUAUACGGUACACUCCUGCAGGGGUGAUAAGAUUCCUCUUGUCUUUCGCUGAAUGUAGCAUUUUCUUAGUGGGUCUGUAGGUAGUUUGUAGGUUGUGUUUCUUUAUCAGCUUCCCUAUGCGGUCAGUGGUUCCCUUGAUGUAUGGUAACAAACCUUUUCCUCUGGGUGGAUCUUUGUCUUUACUCUCAUUAUUUGUUUUGGCCUUGCAGCUCUUCUGAUGUCUGUGGUGGAGUAUCCUUACAUCCAUACAUCUCUAUAGAUGUGGGCGAAACAUCAGGAGAGAAUGGUUCUGGAACAUGGCCAUAACGCCCAGAAAACUCACAGCAACCCAAAGAGUAUUUCCAUCACUGCCAGAAAUUGAUGACUAUAAAUAGUGAUUGAUCUGGUCAAAUGUGGAUUCCUUCAUUUGGCUGUGACUGUAUUCUCAGGGAAUAUUCAAGUUAUUGGAGGUCAAUGUCUAAUAUUAUAUAUAUAUAUAUAUAUAUAUAUAUA